RNAcentral lists this unclassified non-coding RNA (265 nucleotides) under Heterosigma akashiwo. Its description in RNAcentral is "iron transporter like". Lineage: Eukaryota; Raphidophyceae; Chattonellales; Chattonellaceae. The record is from RNAcentral.
CUGGGUUCGUUGUCGUUUUUUUGCCGCAAAACAAGUUUUUUAGUACCCCUAAACCAGCCGGUUAACUAUCUAUCUGGGAUAGGAAGCAUGCAGCGCAACAAGGAAACACCCCCGAGAGGGGGGGACUCGAGACGACACUCACAGUAGCCAGAGACUAGGCAGUAGAGGACCAGGCCGACCCAGACGGCACGUUGAACAGAGCGCCGGCAGGUCCUUCUCCUCUUGGAGGCGCCACCACCCACGUCCUCCGCAGCUUCCACCAGAC